AUUGAACGCUGGCGGCAUGCCUUACACAUGCAAGUCGAACGGCAGCGCGGGGCAACCUGGCGGCGAGUGGCGAACGGGUGAGUAAUAUAUCGGAACAUACCCUAGAGUGGGGGAUAACGUAGCGAAAGUUACGCUAAUACCGCAUACGCACUAAGGGUGAAAGUGGGGGACCGCAAGGCCUCAUGCUUUUGGAGCGGCCGAUGUCUGAUUAGCUAGUUGGUGAGGUAAAGGCUCACCAAGGCGACGAUCAGUAGCUGGUCUGAGAGGACGACCAGCCACACUGGGACUGAGACACGGCCCAGACUCCUACGGGAGGCAGCAGUGGGGGAAUUUUGGACAAUGGGGGGCAACCCUGAUCCAGCAAUGCCGCGUGAGUGAAGAAGGCCUCGGUGUAAGCUCUUUGUUAGGGUAAGAAACGGUGAGUCUAUAAAGACUUGCUAAUGACGGUACCUGAAGAAUAAGACA
RNAcentral lists this ribosomal RNA (465 nucleotides) under uncultured bacterium. RNAcentral describes it as "bacterial SSU rRNA". It matches the Rfam family "Bacterial small subunit ribosomal RNA", at positions 30 to 493 of the family's 1533-position model. The record is from RNAcentral.